UACGGAGGGUGCAAGCGUUGUUCGGAUUUACUGGGCGUAAAGCGCGCGCAGGCGGUCUUCCAAGUCAGUGGUGAAAAGCCCGGAGCUCAACUCCGGAAUUGCCAUUGAAACUGUUGGACUUGAGGAUGAGAGAGGUGAGUGGAAUUCCCAGUGUAGAGGUGAAAUUCGUAGAUAUUGGGAAGAACACCGGUGGCGAAGGCGGCUCUCUGGACCGAUACUGACGCUCAUGUGCGAAAGCGUGGGGAGCAAACAGG
Molecule: ribosomal RNA, 254 nt
Filed under: uncultured bacterium
Lineage: Bacteria
Description: partial 16S ribosomal RNA
Rfam family: Bacterial small subunit ribosomal RNA
Source: RNAcentral